CCUACGGGAUGCAGCAGUGGGGGAUAUUGCACAAUGGGGGAAACCCUGAUGCAGCGACGCCGCGUGUGGGAAGACGGUCCUCUGGAUUGUAAACCACUGUCCCCAGGGACGAAGAUGACGGUACCUGGGGAGGAAGCUCCGGCUAACUACGUGCCAGCAGCCGCGGUAAUACGUAGGGAGCGAGCGUUGUCCGGAAUUACUGGGUGAAAAGGGAGCGUAGGCGGGACUGCAAGUUGGGUGUCAAAUCUACCGGCUCAACCGGUAGCCGCACUCAAAACUGCAGUUCUUGAGUGAAGUAGAGGCAGGCGGAAUUCCUAGUGUAGCGGUGAAAUGCGUAGAUAUUAGGAGGAACACCAGUGGCGAAGGCGGCCUGCUGGGCUUUUACUGACGCUGAGGCUCGAAAGUGUGGGGAGCAAACAGGAUUAGAUACCCCAGUAGUC
Molecule: ribosomal RNA, 440 nt
Filed under: uncultured bacterium
Lineage: Bacteria
Description: partial 16S ribosomal RNA
Rfam family: Bacterial small subunit ribosomal RNA
Source: RNAcentral